UGGGGCUCGUUAGCCGUGGGGUCGCGAGAUCGAAAUGAGUUUUCUUCACCUUUUGGUAUGCGAAGUCUGGUCGCGCGCUCGCCAAUCGCGAUCUCGGUCAAAGAAACCCUAGACCAAUCCCGCAGCCGCCUCCCUCGCCAAUCCCGCAGCCGCCUCCCUCGCUUCCUCCCCCUGCUACUCUAGCCUCCUCUCCUGCCAGCGCCGCCGCCGCGCCCUUCCCACCCGCACGCAACCCACCCUCCUCCUCGACUUCCCUCCUAGCCGCCGCUGCCUCUCCUUCUCUUCCUCCUCUCUCUCUGCUGCUCCGCCGUCCUCCCCAUCCACCCAUGCUCCACUCCUAUCCUGAAUCGAUCCCGCUGGAUCUAAGGCUUCUCCGGCGGUGACGACGACCUGUAGGCAAAGGGCGAUGGCGGGAGAGGUGAGGGAGGUGCGGCAGCAUAUCGGCCUGUGAUGGUGAUGUCGGGCUCCACCAUUCCCGCCCCUCGUCCUCACGCGGCCUCUCUUGGUCACCGGCGCUGCAGUUGUGCGGGGCGUGAGGAGAGCGAGGAGAGGGAGGGGAAGAGUGGGAGGCGCGAGGACGGACGCCAGGCAUGCGGUGCUGGUCGUGGAGGACUACAUGCCCCCUCUUGCUCGCUUUGCGUACGCGUCGCUGCUGUUCUUGCAACGGUGCCGCUGCUGUGGAGGGCUUGGUUUAAGCUUGUUUAUGGCGGGAUGGGGAGGGCAUGAGGCAUCAUCGCCAGAUCGCGAAGGAUGUUACCAAGUGGGGACUACGCUCCGGUCGCGGCGGGGUGCAGCCGCGGGGAAGACAAACUUGGUCCGUCGUCCGUCUUCGCCUCUCCGCCCCGUCCUUGCUGCCUCCAUGGCCAAGCGUACGUAUUUUUUUCCUCUUCCUCCAUGGCCCUCGUUGCCGUCGGGAUCUCGAGGAACAGGUGACCUCCAUGGUGCUCGCUGCCUCUUUGAAUAGGCAAGGUGGAUUCAACACACACAGUCUAGGAAGGCCACGGGAUGACUGUGAUGCAGUGAGGGCAACAGCGACAAUGGAGGAAUCUAUGCUCGUCGAGUUUCCACCCCAACGGCUGCCUCCGGAGCAGGAGAGUUCAAGGACAUCUCCCAGUUCAUGGGAGAGACUCGAGCACAGAUAGGGUUUGGGUAGAGCUUGAUUCCACUCCCACCGAGCAUACAUAGUUGCGUUGUUGUACAAAGAUCCCUUUUUGAUGGUGCCAUGGUGCCCCUCUCUAGGCAAGCUACAAUCAUCUUCCCUCAUCAUUUCUUGUAUUUUUUUUUAAAAAAAUUACACACUGAGCUAUAGAUGGUCGGAUCUGUUGUAUGAGGCAGAACAUGAAUAAGAACAAUUAUCAACUUUUUAGUGUGCAGGUUUAUGACUGCAUUACAGAUCUUUGUGGGUGCCUGUACAUGCCAUUUUAGUAGUUCGAUUAUGUAUUACCUGGAAUUAGUCAAGUGAUUAGUUAUUACCUAUGGUAUUUGGACCUUAUUUGGUUUGGUCAAUUUAUUAGUCAUUGACCAUCCAUUUUUCUAAAUUUAUUGGUAUUUUUAAUAUGCCAUCUGUGUCAGCACACUAAUGUCAAAUCUGGUGGACAAGUCCCAGUCCAUGGAGAAAACACUUGCACAUGUGAGUUCUUUCUUGCUCUUCUUCAUCUUUCCAUGGUGGCGUCCUUUUUUUCCAUUCUUCUUAGUUUUCAAGGGCGUGUUUUGGGCUUUAGAUUAAUUUGGUUGUGCAGAUGGUGUUACUACCAUGUGGCCCUAAGACCAGUUCGAUAUUCAUGCCCGAAAUAAAUACUCUCAGGUUUGCUGGUAUGGUGUGCCUAUUACCAGCUUUCAUGAUGGUUUUUACCAUCGAUAGGCCCUGGAAAUGAGUUCUUUGCUUGCUGUUGUGUGCCUCUGUUCUGUUCUGGGUUGCUUGAUGCAUUGAUCUACUUUUGAUUAUUUCCUUUUUAUGUUGUGGUGACAGUAUUGGUACCUCAUAAUUAUUGAAAUGUGGUAAACUCCAUUCUUUUAUAUUGCACCGUACUUUCCAUAGUUUUGGCAAGCAAUGACUCUAAAGUCACUGCCUAUAACUUCCCAUUUUGAAUGUUUCUUUGAAUCACUGGCUAUAACCUCCAAUUUGGAAUUGCUUCCUUGGUAGGCACAAUGAGUUUUAAUUUGUCUGUAUAAUUUUCAAAAUGUCAUGAUGGUUUUAGAUAGUGGAGGUGAAAUCCAUCCAAGCAGGGAGAGAAGUUUUGAUUUUCUUACCUGUGUGUUCGUAGUUAGAAAACUAAUUUGCCACUUUUUAAUUUUUUUGGGGAUAUAACAAGAGAGUACCAUUGUUAAAAAUCUAUAUUUUUCAAGCAGUUACAAGUUGUUAGUGACCAAAUGGAUAUGUUUCUUUCUGAAAAUGGUACCCUUAUGUGCAGGCUUUUCUCUUCAGGGAUUGUCACAUUGCUUAAUGCUUGACAUGCAUAUAUGUGUUUUCCCUUCAAGGCUUGAAGUGUGGUUACCGCAACAUGCAGAUACAGUUUUGUCGUCCAUUCAUGAUCAUAUUUGGUCUCUCUUAGUGGUCAGUCUAUGGUAAAUCUAAUAGUUGCUCUUGACAGUGAUGCAGGAUAUGAGGUACGACUAUCAAAGUGACAUUAAUUUUGGUUUUGCUUCCUAUCCGCAGCCUCUUCUACACUAGAUUUGAGAUAGAAAAUAAGAACUAGGAACUUUUCUGAGCUUUUGUAUGUUCCGUCUACAUCACAAGCGGUCUUCCGAUUGUGUCGAGUGCAUCACAAAGGCGCAGGAGGAAAAAGGAAGAAUCAGCCAAAAUCUGACAAGAUGCAAAGGCACAUAUCAAGUGUGUACCACAGUCAAAGGGAUUCAGUCCAGUGUGGGCAUACGUCAAGCUGUCGCUUGAGACCGCCAUCAUGCUCUGCUGCAAAGUUUUGUAUCUCUUCAUGAUCACUGUCCUCACCGACAUUGUCCAGGAUGCGCAGAUUGAUUGUCAACUCGCUUGGCAUCUGGUACUUAGUGGCUUACUUUUACUACUUAAAUAAUACUGAAUUUUGGUCAUGUUGCUUCUGUUUUAUCCUGUUGGCGACAGAUUGGAUUGUUUAUUUUAUCUGAAAGCAUUAUUAUUCCCCCUCAUCAGUUGGAUGGCUUUUAAGACGUGCUGAUCUCUCCUUUCUUCUAACUGACUAGCUGAUCUCUCUUUUCUUCUAACUGACUAGCUGAUCUUCAUUUGGAGUGGAAUUGUUCGUUAGUGCAGCUAGCUAGCAUAUAUUGGAUAAUAUGGAUCGGCCCUGUACUCUUGGUUGUUAAUUUAGCUACCAAAUUUGUUUUAUAUAGAAGUUUACAAAGCUGCAUGCCAUCAAGAUUGUAGCCAAUUAACACGCAUGCAUCUAUAUGACUCUCUCAGCAGGUUCUUUUAGAGUCUUACAACAUGACAUUCUAUUGCAUUUUAGUCUUUCCUGCUCCUUAUUUGCAUUUUAGUCUCUUCGAUAAUAACGACCUUGCAGUCCCAAUGGAGACAACUGCUAAAGUUGGUGUGAUAUUCGAGAAAAUUCUUAUGGAGACGGUGAAACCCCGCGAUGAGCAGGAACACGACAUGUGCCUUGAACAGAGGAUGCGGGACUGUUGGUCACAUUUGGUUUUCGACUUGCGUGUCUAAAUAUUCUCACAAUACUUGACUCCCUCUCGGCCUUUGCGCUAUUAGCGCAACGAGUCAUCUUUCCACUCUAAAACAAACUACCUUAGACCCUGUUGCCAUGGUCUUGCUCCACUCUAAAACAAACUGCCUUGGACCCUGCUGCCGGCCUGUCUCUUUCCACUCUAAAACAAACUAUUUUGGCAAUUCAAGAUUCACUUGUUGCUCUUCAAAGCACUACCGCCGCUGCACGUGCCUCCCUAGAGGAAAAGGGCAUGUACUCAGAGGAUGAUGUGGCUCAACCAACCUACGAUGGGCUUUCUGAUGAAGAAACCGAUGAAGAUUACCAUCAAGACAUGGAUGAUGACUACGCUCACUAUGUGCGAUCCCCAUGAGCACUGUCUAAGGCCUCCUAACUGAUCAGCAAGUGAAGCUUUCUAUAUAUAGCUUCGUGAUGACAAUGCUCACUAUGUCCGAUCCCCAUGAGUGUCAUAUUGAGCCUGCUAAACUAUCUCUUUGCCAUGUCAAGCUGUGUAUGUAUGGCUUCACCGCUAGGAAGCGGCCCUGUGUCUGCUGUGUUUAGUCUCCUAGGUUGCUUAAAUAAGAUGCGAAGCUAUCUACUCAUAGCUUUGGCCUAGAAAUGUUUAUCCUUUCUGAACUUGACUCUGGUCAUGUAUAAGUAUGAAGUCUGUGUUGACGUGUUAAUACAAUGUUAUUUAUCUAUGCUACGCCUUUGCUUUUAUCCACUGUGAUUCUUCUUUUCAGUAUCUUCACUGUGUAAGCGGGGAAGCAGCAAUGGACCAUACAGCUGACCGGCGGCUCCACCAACAAUCCAUCCAUCCCUACAAAAGAAAGAGAUAAAAAAUCUCACAAUGGAAGACAUGGACAUUGGCAUCGUCUGUUACGACGGUUCCCCAGGAUCAGCAGCAUCAAGGACAGCAACGCCUGCGCCCAAUGAGAAUGACUAUCUGAUAGUAAUUCCUUAUGCCCACAUAUUCGCCCUGAUGUUGAAAGCUCUAAAGUUACCCCCUGCAACUUAUUAUCACAAGAUAUGCCCAGGCGGAAAGAAUCGUGUGACGGUUACUUUCAUUUCUUCUUUGGAAUUGCUCGAUGGUGCACUUGUUCCAAGUUCUCUGUCAGGUGCAAUCUUAGAUAGCUAUGAAGAUGCUGAAGACAGUGCUGCUAUUGAAGCUAUUAGAUACAUGGAAAAUGCAUAUGGCAAAGAAAUGAGGGACUACCACUACACUCAUGUCAAGAAGCUUGAAAAUCAAGUGACGGACCUGGUCAAAUGGUUGGUUGCAUCAAAUAAAACAAUCAAGAAGCUGCGCAAAACAUGCUACUACGCUGUCAGGUAUAUGAGCUCAUAUUCUGCCCAAAUAGAAAACACAACGACUGCUCGGCAUUUGAAAGGGCGGGAUAGCACCAAGGGAGUUAUGAAAACAGCGCCGGCAAGCAUUGAAGGACUGACGCAGAGGCUACGCUACAUUGCUAUGAAGUUUGAGCAGCGCCUCGAAGCAACCAGAAAUAGUUUCCGGUGAGCUUUGGUCAAUGUGUCCUGAACAACAUGCUUCUGUGCUUACUAAAUCAGGCACCUUUUGUUUCGUAUCGAUCAGACAAGGAUCUUUCGCAUUUUGGCGUACUCCAAGCAAGAUAUGUGUACACUUUAGUCUUAACUUGCUGCCUCUAUGCUGAAAAGUAGUGUAUGAUAUAGUCUAUGAUCUUUAAACUUUGUUGUUAUCUCUGUACUCAGAAGCGGGUUAUCAUCGCUUACUCUAUAUAUGUGAAGGCCUUUUCUUCUGCUA
Molecule: RNA transcript, 5421 nt
Organism: Triticum aestivum (bread wheat)
Lineage: Eukaryota; Viridiplantae; Streptophyta; Magnoliopsida; Poales; Poaceae
Exons: 11
Source: RefSeq, a predicted model, not a curated record